AAUUUUUAAAUUUUAUUAUUAUCUAAUUUAGCGACCGAUAAAUUAUUUUUAUAAAUUCGCCACUGCUUACCAUAAAAUACAAUUCACUACAUAUUUUUCUUAAACAACAAAUCAAGAAUAGAAAUAACCAUGUUGUUCGAAUCCCCUAAGUUGCCACGCUUCUCCAUAAACCAAAUGAUAGAUAGUCCAAAAUCAUCAAUAUUACAUUUUUUCAUAAAACCUCUACAAUUGUUUAUACAAAAACUCUAGAACCAAAUAUCCACUCUAUAUAACAUUCUUAUAUCCUCCUUUAAAACGUGAUCCAACGCUCUUAACUACAUCAUAACAAAAAGAAAAAGAAAAAAAAAAGUCCUACAUCACUUCCAUUUAACAAGCCAGGUCUAUUUCAAAUAACCAAAAUUCAAUGCCGUUGAACUACUAUUACAACAAUUAAAAAAAAAAAAACUGCAACGUUUGUUAACAUAAGGUGGACUAACAUUUUAAUCAUCGAUUUUUAACUUAUUCUCUACGUAAGCCUAGUCUGGUCAAACAAACCAAAGCAAUUCGAGAAACUUUCUGCCAAUCUAUGACUUCACCAAUUACCAAACAAAUUUACCAUUGCAUUUGUUUCAUGAAUAAUCAUAUUUCCUAUUGCCUCUCUUCAGCAAGGAUCCUAUAUCUCAGUUCAUUUUUUUAUAAAUAUCCACCAUAACCACAUAAUAGCGCAAUGCCCUUUUUUUUAUAGGAAUAAAUAUAUGAAUUUUGGAAAUCCACUUGUUAUAAACAAUGAAGCCUUUAUAAUCCAUAUAUAAAUAUAAAUACAUUCCUUGUGACACUGUCUCAAUUCUUGUGUGUAGCAUUCCCUCAAUAACGUACCCUUGCCUAGCCAAGCUAUAUCACUUCCUUAAAGUAACACCUCUUACUGCAUACACAAAAUGCUAAGCUUGUAUUCGAAAAUUCCAAAAUACACCAUUACAAUAAUAUUUAAUCAUUUAUAGUUAAUCAAUUAAUAUACAACAAAAUAAGAUGCCAGAAACCAAGAACGAGGACCAUCUUGCACAUUUUCCUCUUCAUUAUUUGUCAGUGUCUCUACCAUAACUGAUAUAAUUUACAUAGAUAAACAAUUUCCUUUAUAUUACAGCAGUUUCAACAUUAGCAAACACCAACUGCCUCUCCCUCUCCUUUCCAUGAAUAUAGCUUUUUGGGCAUUGUGUUGUGCUUAAGACUUAGUUUUAAAUUUUAGUGCAAACGUGCUAAUUUAUUAAAGUACAAAUUUCUAGAGAACAAGGUAGAACCAACACGUAUUGCUUAUAAAAAUAAGAAAAACAAAAUUAAAUCUAUAUCAAUAUAAUUCUAAUCUAAUUAACCACGAUUGUUUAAGGAUGAAAAUUAUAUUGAACUUAACAUAAAGGUAAAUGGAAGUGAGGUGAAAAUUCAAAAGUGAUAAAAGACUAAGGCUUUAGAAUCGAUCACUUUUAACUUCAUAAAUCCUAAUUAAAUAUCUAUUAAAUCUCCUGAAUUAGAGUAACAAUCUUUAAAUUAAUUCUCUAUUUACUCAAAUCAUGUGAAAUUUCUAAAGUAAAAUCUCUUUGCUUCAAAAGUAUUAAUAGUAAGCAUUUUACAUAUCCAUCUUGAAAAAAAUAAAUCAAAAAGUUAAUAAUUAAAAAUUGGUUGAAUGUUGUAAUAAUAGUUCAACAGCAUUGGUUGAACUGAGUUUGGAAUUGAGGUGGAAAGAGUUAUGAAUUGGUUGGAAAAUAGCUUGCAAUUUGCUAUACCCUUGAAAUGGGAACUUCAAAGAAAUGGGCUUGAAUAAGUUGGGCUGUCAUGGGUUAGAUGUGUGCUGAUUCAUUGACAUCAUUGAUGAUGUCAUGCUCAGAUGGCAGAUUGGUGGCCUGAGGUGGGAUCUGGCUGGUGACAUAGCACUAAAUUGGCUACUGACUUAAACAGAUGAUGUGGCUCUCCAUAUUAGGACCCGCAGCAACGUGGCAAUACAUCUGUCACUGAGGUGGGACCUUGUAAAAAUGUUGGAAUAAAAUUUAGCAGUAAUCCAUGUUGGAAUAAAUUAUUUUAUGUCUUUUCACCAACCAUUCCCUACUCUUAUCCUAAUUUAUAUUCAAAUUACCCUUCCAUAUAUUUUAUCUUAUAUUACAAAAAAGUUGUACUAAUUGCACUUAAUUGCUAAACAAAAUUGAUUAACAAAUACAAGUUAAGGAUUAUAAAUUAAAUAUCUCAAUAUUUUAAUUAACUCAAUAAUAGCACCACUUACAAUAGAUGCCGUGAUGCGUUCAGCUAAUACACCAUUUACAAUGCACUAUUCUUGUUUCAAAUUAAUAUUCUUGAACUUUGAUGCGAUGUUAGGCUGUAAAACAUGCUGUGAUCGUUUUCUAUACUUUUCUUUUACUAAAUAUUUCCUUACCAACUUUACUCUAUUUAUUUCCUUUGUCGUGCUUUUCAUUUCUUUUCUUGAAUGAUACGUUCCUUAUUUAGACUUAGUUCCUCUUUCCGAACUUGUCCUUUGAGGGUUCGCCAUGGAAGGCUCAGCCAUGGACAACUUUAUGUCUGGUUGUUGGAUUUGCUUGGUAAGGAUCUUCGGUAGCAGAUCAUCCUAAGCAAUGUGCUAUGGCUGACAAAGGAAAAGAUAAGAUUCAGGAUCAAGUAAAGGCAGCUACAGCCAUGACUAAGACCAAUGUUAGGGGUUUCGCUUCCUUGGUUUCUGCCAAGAUGAUCUUGGUCUUGAACCUAAAAAUUUGUUUAUCCCACCCAUGAGAGGUGAAACUUCUUGCCAUAAGGUUGAGUUAAAUACAUUUUGAAAUACUGUCUAACCAACCCAAGAGCGGGGGUGAAUUAGGUUUCUAAAAAUUAUACAAUGCUUGAACAAAACUUAAUGCAAAUCUUAAACGAAUUUAAAACAAUAAUAAAUAAAUCAACCAAAAUGUAAAAAGAUAAGGGAAGAGAGAUUCAAACACAGAUAUUUUUAUAUGGUUCGGCAAAUCUUGCUUACAUCCACGCCUCCAAACUCACCGGGUUUGAGGAUUCCACUAGUUAUCUUCCAAGACUUCAAGAACACUUACAAUUGAGUUCACUAGUGUCAAUCAACCUUUACAUCAAGAGAUUAUCCCCAAUCUCUUUACCCAAGUCUAUCACAACACUUACAAUCACUUAAAACAAAGAUUACAAGAGUGUUUUUCUCUCACACAAAAUAUAUGAUUACAAGUUUAUGCUUAAUGUGUGAAUAAAUUAAACAAGAACGAAUUUAAAGCUCAAUGAAUGUUGUAUUCUUGAUUACAAGCUCAAUGAUAACACUGUGAUCAACCCUUAUUUGAAUUUGAUUAAGCUUAUUUAUAGUUGGAGCUUAAAAAUAGCUGUUUUUGAUUUUCUGCCCAAAAUCGAAUCGUCGUUAAUAGUUAUCGGUUAACCAUUUUGACUGGUCCAAGUGACUGUUGAGAUGAAAUUUAAAUAAACGGUUGACCGUUUGCAACUAUUGGUUCGCUGUUAAUUUCUAGAGACCUGCAAAACAAAUUUCGGCUAUCCGUUCUUGCUAAACGGUUCAAGGUUAACAUGGAAUGACAUUCUGAAAAUUAUCAGUUAGCAGUUUGAAGUUAACAGUUCAGCGGUUGUUUCCAGUAACCUACAGAACAAAAUAAGCUUAUCCAUUUUUGUUAAACGGUUCAAGGUUAGCACAAAAUUCCUUUCUGGACAAUAUCAGUUAACCGUUUGAUAUAAACGGUUUGCCGUUUAAUUUCGAUAACUUGCAAAACACUCUAGCCUUAUCUGUUUUCGCUAAUAUGUUCAAGUUUAAGGAUUUAUCCCUCUCUAUAAAUUAUCGGUUAACCGUUUCAAAGUUAACGGUUCACGUUUACUUCCAGAAUCACAAUUUUAAUAAAAUUUCGCAGGGAAUGAUUUUCCGAUUAAAGUUAAACAAUUAUCCA
This 3908-nucleotide long non-coding RNA is filed under the name Citrus x clementina. RNAcentral describes it as "Citrus clementina (C. clementina) long non-coding RNA (CCLE_LNC000412)". Lineage: Eukaryota; Viridiplantae; Streptophyta; Magnoliopsida; Sapindales; Rutaceae. The record is from RNAcentral.